This 428-nucleotide ribosomal RNA is filed under the name uncultured archaeon. Its description in RNAcentral is "bacterial SSU rRNA". It matches the Rfam family "Archaeal small subunit ribosomal RNA", at positions 474 to 903 of the family's 1478-position model. The record is from RNAcentral.
UACCAGCUCUCCGAGUGGUGUGGAUGUUUAUUGGGCCUAAAGCAUCCGUAGCUGGCUGGACAAGUCCCCUGUUAAAUCCACCGAUUUAAUCGUUGGUGUGCGGGGGAUACUGUUCGGCUAGGGGACGGGAGAGGCAGACGGUAUUUUCGGGGUAGGGGUGAAAUCCUAUAAUCCCGGGAAGACCACCAGUGGCGAAGGCUGUCUGCUAGAACGCGCCCGACGGUGAGGGAUGAAAGCUGGGGGAGCGAACCGGAUUAGAUACCCGGGUAGUCCCAGCUGUAAACGAUGCAGGCUAGGUGUUUGGACGCCACGUGCCGUUCUAGUGCCGCAGGGAAGCCGUUAAGCCUGCCGCCUGGGGAGUACGGCCGCAAGGCUGAAACUUAAAGGAAUUGGCGGGGGAGCACCACAAGGGGUGAAGCUUGCGGUUU